CGCCAGGGAAAGACAGAGUUCCAGUGUUCCGGAAGGGCUCUCUGAGACCUCAGAACCAUAAUCCUGUCCGGAGCGACCCUAAAAUUCUGUUUGAUGUUUCGCCGCGGAUUGAGCCGUGUAAUCCUUGUACAGAUGAGCGAACAGCCUUGAACACCAGAAAGGCUGGUUCAGAACCAUGCGGGUGGCAAGGCCGGAUGGCCGGAGUCAGGGAUUUGGAGAGGAGUUAAUGCUAGCUCUUGGUAUCACAGGGCAUGUGUGUCGUCUGUCAGCCCAACCCUAAGACAUUUUACACAGGUUAAAGACCCAUUUUGGAAGUGAAGGCGGGGACUUCUGCCCUGUAAAGACCUGCACAGGAGGAGACAUGAGUCUGAGGCAUGCACUGUGCCAGGUGCUGAACACACUUUUGCAAUUCACCCUCACGGUGAAGCACAGAUUGUUAUAGCCCCAUGUACAGCUGAUGAAAUGAGAGUUCCAGGAGCUUCCUCCCAGAGGGCGAGGGGAUGGAAGCUGAGCCCCAGGAGCCGGUGCUGAGGCCAGACUCAGGCUGAGUGACAGCUCGAGACCAGGACUUUGACAGCUAUGCCGAGGCUGGCUGGAAGCAAGUGGUGCUAAACUCGCGUGCCUGAGAAGAUGAACAAUGAUGACAAAGACAGGAGAUGGCCAGGAGCUGCAGCGGGGCGCCGAGGAGGUGCUGGGUCCUGAACAGAAAGUCCUUGGGCUCUGCUUCCAACCAAGAGCUCCCUACUUACUUGCUCUGCGACCUUGAGCAAGUCACUCAACCCUCUCAGUUCAGUGUCCUCGCUUGUCACACAGGGUCACCACUCCUGCUGGGUUGUCAUGGUACUGCAUGAGACAAUGCAGGGAGACAGAACUGGGUCAAGUCCAGGCCAGAACGCAAGUACUAAUUAGUUGUAUGACCUAAGGCAAGUCCCUUCACUUCUCUGAGCCUUAGUAUCCCUAUCUAUAUAACAGAGGUGGUACCUAUCUCACCCGAACACUGUGAAGAUGCAGUGAUUAAAGUA
Molecule: long non-coding RNA, 1022 nt
Organism: Chinchilla lanigera (long-tailed chinchilla)
Lineage: Eukaryota; Metazoa; Chordata; Mammalia; Rodentia; Chinchillidae
Exons: 4
Source: RefSeq, a predicted model, not a curated record